GAUCCUGGCUCAGGAUGAACGCUAGCGGCAGGCUUAACACAUGCAAGUCGAGGGGCAGCAUUUGGGUAGCAAUACCUGAGAUGGCGACCGGCGCACGGGCGCGUAACGCGUAUGCAACCUACCCAUAACAGGGGCAUAACACUGAGAAAUCGGUACUAAUUCCCAUAACAUUCGAAGAGGCACCUUUUCGGGUUGAAAACUCCGGUGGUUUAUGGAUGGGCAUGCGUUGUAUUAGCUGGUUGGUG
This 245-nucleotide ribosomal RNA is filed under the name uncultured bacterium. Its description in RNAcentral is "partial 16S ribosomal RNA". It matches the Rfam family "Bacterial small subunit ribosomal RNA", at positions 15 to 254 of the family's 1533-position model. The record is from RNAcentral.